RNAcentral lists this transfer RNA (72 nucleotides) under Ictidomys tridecemlineatus (thirteen-lined ground squirrel). Its description in RNAcentral is "Spermophilus tridecemlineatus (thirteen-lined ground squirrel) tRNA". It matches the Rfam family "tRNA". From Rfam's summary of the family: Transfer RNA (tRNA) molecules are approximately 80 nucleotides in length. Their secondary structure includes four short double-helical elements and three loops (D, anti-codon, and T loops). The record is from Rfam by way of RNAcentral. Lineage: Eukaryota; Metazoa; Chordata; Mammalia; Rodentia; Sciuridae.
UUCAAAAUAGCUCAGUGGUAGAGCUCUUGCCUAGCAUGCAUGAGGCCCUGGGUUCAAUCCUCAAUAUAGGAA